GCUGGGAUCUCCUAGCCUGGUAUGGAGCCAGCCUGCUAAGCUGGUGUGCCUAAGCACGCGGGGGUUCGAAAGGCCUUUACCUUCUGGUAGGCCCGAAUAUCCCCCUCCCAGCGCCA
Molecule: transfer RNA, 116 nt
Filed under: Promethearchaeota archaeon
Lineage: Archaea; Promethearchaeati; Promethearchaeota
Description: Candidatus Lokiarchaeota archaeon (microbial mat metagenome) tRNA-Ser
Source: RNAcentral